UGCCAGCAGCCGCGGUAAUACGGAGGGUGCAAGCAUUAAUCGGAUUUAUUGGGCGUAAAGGGCGCGUAGGCGGCCAUGUAAGUCAAGUGUGAAAUUCCGGAGCUCAACUCCGGAGCUGCACUUGAAACUGCAUAGCUAGAGGAUAGAUGGAGAAAACGGAAUUCCACGUGUAGCGGUGAAAUGUGUAGAUAUGUGGAAGAACACCGGUGGCGAAGGCGGUUUUCUAGCUUAUUUCUGACGCUGAGGCACGAGAGCGUGGGGAGCAAACAGGAUUAGAUA
RNAcentral lists this ribosomal RNA (279 nucleotides) under uncultured bacterium. RNAcentral describes it as "partial 16S ribosomal RNA". It matches the Rfam family "Bacterial small subunit ribosomal RNA", at positions 506 to 784 of the family's 1533-position model. The record is from RNAcentral.